RNAcentral lists this ribosomal RNA (492 nucleotides) under uncultured bacterium. RNAcentral's name for it is "partial 16S ribosomal RNA". It matches the Rfam family "Bacterial small subunit ribosomal RNA", at positions 38 to 507 of the family's 1533-position model. The record is from RNAcentral.
GGGGGGGGGGGGGGGGGGGGGGGGGGGGGGCGGGGGGGGGGGCGGCAGGGUGGGGGGUUGCUGUUCCGGGUGGGGAGUGGCGGAGGGGUGAGGACUACAUCGGGAUCUCCUUUUUCGUGGGGGAUAACGUAGGGAAACUUACGCUAAUACCGCAUACGGCCUACGGGUGCAAGCAGGGUAUCUUCGGACCUUGCGCGAUUGGAUGAGCCGAUGUCGGAUUAGCUAGUUGGCGGGGUCAAGGCCCACCGAGGCGACGAUCCGUAGCUGGUCUGAGAGGAUGAUCAGCCACACUGGAACUGAGACACGGUCCAGACUCCUACGGGAGGCAGCAGUGGGGAAUAUUGGACAAUGGGCGCAAGCCUGAUCCAGCCAUACCGCGUGGGUGAAGAAGGCCUUCGGGUUGUAAAGCCCUUUUGUUGGGAAAGAAAAGCAGCAGGUUAAUACCCCGCUGUUCUGACGGUACCCAAAGAAUAAGCACCGGCUAACUUCGUG